CAGAGGUGGCAAGCGUUGUUCGGAAUUACUGGGCGUAAAGGGCGCGUAGGCGGUCUUGUAAGUCCCGCGUGAAAUCCCCCGGCUCAACUGGGGAACUGCGUGGGAAACUGCGAGGCUUGAGUUCGGGAGAGGGAAGCGGAAUUCCGGGUGUAGCGGUGAAAUGCGUAGAUAUCCGGAGGAACACCGGUGGCGAAGGCGGCUUCCUGGACCGACACUGACGCUGAGGCGCGAAAGCUAGGGGAGCAAACGGGAUUAGAUACCCCGGUAGUCCUAGCUGUAAACGAUGAGUGCUGGGUGUAGGGGGUAUCAACCCCCCCUGUGCCGAAGCUAACGCAUUAAGCACUCCGCCUGGGGAGUACGGUCGCAAGGCUG
Molecule: ribosomal RNA, 372 nt
Filed under: uncultured organism
Description: bacterial SSU rRNA
Rfam family: Bacterial small subunit ribosomal RNA
Source: RNAcentral